AGGAUAAUAGUUAAUUAUAACAUUUGGGUUGCAUUCAAAAAGUGUUGAUUAAUUAUUUUCAACUUAUCUUA
This 71-nucleotide transfer RNA is filed under the name Allacta bimaculata. RNAcentral's name for it is "tRNA-Ala". Lineage: Eukaryota; Metazoa; Arthropoda; Insecta; Blattodea; Pseudophyllodromiidae. The record is from RNAcentral.